ACCUACGGGGGGCAGCAGUGAGGAAUAUUGGUCAAUGGGCGGGAGCCUGAACCAGCCAAGUCGCGUGAGGGAAGACGGUCCUAUGGAUUGUAAACCUCUUUAGGCGGGGAGCAAUGCCGGGCACGCGUGCCCGGAGGGAGAGUACCCGCAGAAUAAGCGUCGGCUAACUCCGUGCCAGCAGCCGCGGUAAUACGGAGGAUGCGAGCGUUAUCCGGCUUUAUUGGGUUUAAAGGGUGCGUAGUCGGAUUUUUA
RNAcentral lists this ribosomal RNA (252 nucleotides) under uncultured bacterium. RNAcentral's name for it is "partial 16S ribosomal RNA". It matches the Rfam family "Bacterial small subunit ribosomal RNA", at positions 337 to 585 of the family's 1533-position model. The record is from RNAcentral.